GAGUUUGAUCCUGGCUCAGGACGAACGCUGGCGGCGCGCCUAACACAUGCAAGUCGAACGAGCGAGAGAGAGCUUGCUUUCUCGAGCGAGUGGCGAACGGGUGAGUAACGCGUGAGGAACCUGCCUCAAAGAGGGGGACAACAGUUGGAAACGGCUGCUAAUACCGCAUAAGCGCACAGCAUCGCAUGAUGCAGUGUGAAAAACUCCGGUGGUAUAAAAUGGACCCGCGUUGGAUUAGCUAGUUGGUGAGGUAACGGCCCACCAAGGCGACGAUCCAUAGCCGACCUGAGAGGGUGACCGGCCACAUUGGGACUGAGACACGGCCCAGACUCCUACGGGAGGCAGCAGUGGGGAAUAUUGCACAAUGGGGGAAACCCUGAUGCAGCGACGCCGCGUGGAGGAAGAAGGUUUUCGGAUUGUAAACUCCUGUCGUUAGGGACGAUAAUGACGGUACCUAACAAGAAAGCACCGGCUAACUACGUGCCAGCCGCCGCGGUAAUAC
This 502-nucleotide ribosomal RNA is filed under the name uncultured bacterium. RNAcentral describes it as "bacterial SSU rRNA". It matches the Rfam family "Bacterial small subunit ribosomal RNA", at positions 9 to 526 of the family's 1533-position model. The record is from RNAcentral.